UAGGGAAUCUUCCACAAUGGACGCAAGUCUGAUGGAGCAACGCCGCGUGAGUGAAGAAGGUUUUCGGAUCGUAAAGCUCUGUUGUUGGUGAAGAAGGAUAGAGGCAGUAACUGGUCUUUAUUUGACGGUAAUCAACCAGAAAGUCACGGCUAACUACGUGCCAGCAGCCGCGGUAAUACGUAGGUGGCAAGCGUUGUCCGGAUUUAUUGGGCGUAAAGCGAGCGCAGGCGGAAUGAUAAGUCUGAUGUGAAAGCCCACGGCUCAACCGUGGAACUGCAUCGGAAACUGUCAUUCUUGAGUGCAGAAGAGGAGAGUUGAAUUCCCUGUGUAGCGGUGGAAUUCGUAGAUAUAUUGAAGAACACCAGUGGCGAAGGCGGCUCUCUGGUCUGCAACUGACGCUGAGGCUCGAAAGCAUGGGUAGCGAACAGG
RNAcentral lists this ribosomal RNA (429 nucleotides) under bacterium. RNAcentral describes it as "partial 16S ribosomal RNA". It matches the Rfam family "Bacterial small subunit ribosomal RNA", at positions 355 to 776 of the family's 1533-position model. The record is from RNAcentral.